This 691-nucleotide ribosomal RNA is filed under the name Acinetobacter lwoffii. RNAcentral's name for it is "bacterial SSU rRNA". It matches the Rfam family "Bacterial small subunit ribosomal RNA", at positions 67 to 748 of the family's 1533-position model. Lineage: Bacteria; Pseudomonadati; Pseudomonadota; Gammaproteobacteria; Moraxellales; Moraxellaceae. The record is from RNAcentral.
CGGCAGAACAGUAGCUUGCUUAGCUCUACCUAGCGGCGGACGGGUGAAUAAUGCUUAAGAGUCUGCCUAUUAAUGGGGGACAGCAUCUCAAAAGGGAUGCUAUUACCGCAUACCUCCUACGGAAGAAAGCAGGGGACCUUCGGACCUUGCGCUCAUGCAUGAUCCUAAGUCGCAAUAUCUAAUUGGUGGGGUAAAGGCCUACCAAGGCGACAAUCUGUAGAGCCUCUGAUAGGAUGAUCCGCCGCUCUGCCACUGAGACACGGACCCAACUCCUACAGGAGGCCGCAAUGGGGAAUAGUGGACAAUGGGGGGAAGCCUGAUCCCCCCAUGCCGCGUGUGUGAAGAAGGCCUUUUGGUUGUCAAGCACUUUAGCCGAUUAGGAGGCUACCAAGAUUAAUACUCUUGUAUACUGGAGGUUACUCGCAAAAUAAGCACCGGCUAACUCUGUGCUUCCAGCCGCGGUAAUACAGAGGGUGCAAGCGUUAAUCGGAUUUACUGAUUACUGGGCGCGCGUAGUGUGGCCAAUUAAUUCAUAUGUGAGCUCCCCGAGCUUAGCUUGCAAAUUGCAUUCUAUACUGGAUGGCUAGAGAAUGGAAUGGGAUGGAAGAAUUCCAAGUGUAUGGGUGAAAUGCGUAGAGAUCUGGAGGAAUACCGAUGGCGAAUGCAGCCAUCUGCUCUAAGACUGACACUG